This 2301-nucleotide long non-coding RNA is filed under the name Olea europaea subsp. europaea. Lineage: Eukaryota; Viridiplantae; Streptophyta; Magnoliopsida; Lamiales; Oleaceae. The record is from RNAcentral.
ACUGACAUAUGUAACUCAUUUUUCUUUCAAGAAUUAAUAUUUUCUUCCUCUUUGUGUUACAAUUCCUUCAGUAAUAUCAGAGCCCUAAGGAUCUUAAAAGAAAAAUAAAAGAAAAAAAGAUAGAAAAAAGAGAGAAAACAAGUGAGGAAAGCUUCACCAAAACACUUUCACCAUUUCAGCAAAAAAUUAGAUCUGAGAGUGAUGGCUUCAAUUGGUUUUUCAGCUCUAUGAUUUUUGGGCUGCAAAAAUGAAGGCUUACAUAGAAGCAUAUGAUCUAUGGGAUACCAUGGAAUCAGGUAUUGAACCAUCUCCUCUAAGGGAAAAUUCUACUAUUCUCAGUUGAAGCAACACGGUGAGGAGGUUGCAAAGAAGUUCAACACAUUGUCCUGCAUCCAAUCUACCAUUUUGAUGCAGUAUUCACCAGGAUUAUCCCUUGUAAGAUAGCAAAGGAGGCUUCGGAUAGAUUGCAAGAUAAGUUUAGAGGUAAUGCAAGAACAUGGCGAAUGCAAGUUUUAAAUUUAAGAAGGGAAUAUGAAACCUUGAAGAUGAAAGACUCAGAAUUUGUCAAACAAUAUUCUGAUAGGCUGAUGAAAGUAGUGACCAAAUAAGGCUGUUGGGAGAUGAGUUACCAAAUAGGAGAGUUGUAGAGAAGGUGCUGAUCAGUUCACCAAAAAAAUUUAAGGUUAAAAUCUCCUCUCUUGAAGACUCUAGAGACCUGUCUCCUAUAACCUUAUCUGAGUUGGUUAAUGCCUUGCAAGCUACUGAGCAAAAGAGGCUAAUGAGGCAGGAAGAACAAGUACAAGGUGCCUUGUUUUUUAAAGGAAAGUACAAAGUGUAAACAAGCUAUGGUAUGAAGAAGUAUCAGCAACAGAAAGAGAUGGUUGAAGGCAACAAAGCUGCUGAUAAAAGUGAUGCUUAUCCACCUUGUCCUUAUUGCAAAAAAAAAAAAAUCGGCCAUUUUCCAAAAUGGUGCUGGUACAGGCUAGGAGUUCAGUGUAGAGGUUGUAAACAAUUUGGACAUGUUCAAAAGAUGUGCAAAAAUCUCAAGGAACAGCAAUCCAAGCAGCAGGCAUAGGUUGCUUAAAAUCAGCAACAAGAUCAGCAAGAACACUUAUUCACAGUUACAAAUCACAAGAUGUGUAGUGAUGUUGGAACAUGGCUAUUGAGUAGUAGUUGCACACAUCAUAUGGCUUCAAAUUCCAUCAUCUUUGUUGAACUUGACAGCAAUUACAAAUCAAAAGUGAAGAUGGGAAAUGGUGAGUAUGUCAAAGUGGAAGGGAUUGGUGUGAUUUCUUUGCAGACUUCAACAGGUAUUAUUAAGUUUAUUUCUGAUGUUCUUUAUGUGCCAAACAUAGAUCAAAACUUGGCGAGUGUAGGUCAGUUGAUUGAGAAAAAUUAUACACUCAUAUGCAAAGAUAAUUGCUACAUCAUAAUGGAUAGAAGUGGAAAUGAAGUGAUGGUAGUUCAAAUUAAACAAAGAAGUUUUCCUUUAGAAUGGAAAAAUAUGUCAUCGCAUGCAUUCUCUAGCACCGUUGAAGACUUUUCUCUUUUGCAUAAACAUUUUGGACAUGCAAAUUCCACCUCACUUAAGCAAUUGAACAAGCUGAAACUUGUAGAAAACCCGUCUGUCAUUUGUGAUGAAAGAUAUGUUUGUGAUGUAUGUCAACUUGGAAAGCAAACCAGAUUGCCAUUCCCUAAAAGUCAGUCAAGAAGAGCUACAAAUAAGUUGGAAUUGAUCCAUUCAAAUGUGUGUGGUCCAAUGAGAAGACAAACUCGUAAUGACGGUAGGUGCUUUGUACUCUUUAUUGAUGACCUAACAAGGAUGUGAUAGGUGUAUUUUUUGAAAAUGAAAUCAGAGGUUGCUGGUGUCUUUCAAAAGUUCAAGAAUCCAGCAGAAAAUGAGAGCAAUAAAGGCCAUUAUGAUAGACAAUGGAACUGAAUACGAGUGUGAUCAGUUUGACAAGUUCUGUGAUGCCAUUGGAAUCAAAAACUAAUUGAUAAUUCCUUACACACAUCAGCAAAAUGGAGUGUGUGAGAGAAAAAAUAGGACGGUGAUGGAAUGGCCAGGUGUUUGUGUAGCGACCCAAAAAUAAAAAAAACUUUCAUAAUUGAUUGAAUAUUCAAAGCACUAAUCAAACACGCUUGAAAACUUGGUGGAAUAGUCAAGACAUUUAUCAACAAAUUUAAAUACAUGAAAUGAAACAUCAAAUUAUUCUUUUAAUUAUUUAAUGAUAUGAAACAAUUUUUUCUAACUUUUCAUUUCAAUUUAUUCAAAUUUCUAACGUGUGAGAUUUAUAAAUG